This is a long non-coding RNA of Amphiprion ocellaris (clown anemonefish), 6191 nucleotides long. RefSeq lists it as uncharacterized. The transcript has 3 exons. Lineage: Eukaryota; Metazoa; Chordata; Actinopteri; Pomacentridae. The record is from RefSeq and is a predicted model, not a curated record.
UUUUUUUUUUAAUUAAACAAAAAACAAGAUUUUGGCUUUAGAUUACAGCAUCUGGAGUGGAAGUUAAAUUUAUUUGGUUGUCGUUUUCAACACAAGUCAAGUGUGUCCCCGAAAAAUGGUAGCUAUAUAUUCCAUUUGUGAUGUUAUAAGGGCUCAAAAAUGCUGGAAAAAAACCAAAGCAAAUUUUAAAAGCAUAGUUUCAACCCACUUUAUGUACCAACCCAUGCCCAAGAUCCUGUGGCUAGGAAUAUGUUUAUAGUAUGAAAGGAAAACUUUGCAUAGCGUCAUUAAACAUACUACAGUUGUCUGUUGGGUGGGAGGCAUCAAUUGAUAGCUCAUGAGAGAUUUGGAAUUAAUCUUAUUUAUGAUUACUUACAGAGCUAUUAUAUUAUAUACCACAUUAAAGGGGGUGCCUUGAAAAUGUUUAAAUGAAUUAAAUUUAUUCAACAGUAUUUUGGGUGAUCUUUGAAGAGACCUGGAUCACUUACACUCAUUUUAGGUUUAUUCAGCUUAGAAACAUAAGCUCUCCUGCUGACGUAACAAUGUACUGCAUUUUUGGUUGAUUGAUUAGUUCAAAGUCAUCUUUUGAGAUAGUCAAACAUGAAACUAACUGAGUUUAACUCUAACAAUGCACGUUGGGAAGUCUGCCUAUAUGCUUGUUUUGUUUCUUCUAAGCUUAUUUUAAUGAGUUGUGUGAACUCUAACGCAGUUUAUUUUUUCAGCUCAUCAAUAUAGGUCAAAAUGUCUCGUUACAAGAACUUUUCUUCUUUUUGACUUCUAAAGUGAUCUGAACAAACGACUUUUAAGUCCAACUAACUACAAAUGAGCAAAACUCAUUAGAUGAACUAAAAUAACUAAGUUGAUUUAACAAAAUUCCUUUAUGAUGUUUUGCAGUGCGUAUCAUAUUAUUUUUAAGGUCUUUUGUGUAUGAGCAGAAUAACAGCUGAAUAGAUCUAGGGCUAUUCUUUAAAAUUUUUCUUACUUUUGUUACCAACAAACAAAUCAGAUCAGGGCUAAUCAGAAAACAUUUAAAUCUAUAGUCACUGAUUUGCUGCAUAUAUUGUAAUUAUGAGACAAGAUAUGUGAGACUCUGAGUUAUUCUACACACGAACCACAUUAUAUGACUGACCAUAGGCUGCUAAUGCUCAUAACAAGUUACAUUGAUAACAGAUAUUCUAAAUAAAUAUGAAAAAUCAUUAAAAGCUUUUCUUCUUAAUAACAUAUAAUUUUAUUCAUGUGAAUUAUCAUAAUGAAAAAUAAGAUGAUGUGUGAACUUUGUACAAUUAUAAAGACAAUUCCUCAAACCUUCUUCUAUAAAGAUUCAUCCAUAUUCUCUUUGAUGAGUCUGUGAGAUUUAACUGUCUUUCUCAUCAGUGUCUAAUGAUUCAUGCUUUUUGCUGUUCUAAAGUUUCACAGAGAUAAAAAGUCCCUUUUGACUAAAGAUUCUUCCUCCGUUUAUUUUGAAGAACUAACAGUUGGAAGAGAAGAGGAAGUAAAGAUGGAGACAAGCGUGGGAAGAAAAUUUACUCAAAGAAAAGAUUCCUGUGAAAGCAGCAUCUUUCAUACCAUACAGUACAAUUAAGCCUGAGAAGAUUCUUUAGCUAACAGUUUCUGCUCAAAUUAUACUUGCUACUGACCAGAUUUUAUAGACAAGUGGGAAAAAAAACAUCAGGAGAGGAAAAGGAGGAAAUUUAGUAAUGUGUAAUUGCUGGUACAUAAUUAUGUGUCACAUGAAACAAAGCGUCAUUUACUUUAUUACCAUCAUCAUCAUUAUUAUUUAUCUUAAUUUUUCACUAAAAGUUCUUUAACUGUGUUCAGUAGUAUAAUAGCUUGAUGAUUUAGGACUCCUGUCUUUGCAGUUAAAACCACAUAAACAAACACAUUUAGUGCCUCAAACCCUCAUAUUUACUGCUAACGUCUCCAUGGUCUUAUUUCUUCAUAGAAAAACACACAUUGUGCAACACAUGCAGCUCCUGUCACAUGUGGACUCUCUGCAGAAGAAGCAUGUCUAGAGUAAUGCGGCCAACCAGUUGCCCUCUAGGAGCCAACUUGAGUGCAAUUUUGCUGUUUGUUGACUUUGCCACAGGAAGGUCAUUGUACAGGCUGAAUUUACCAUGUGCAUACUAGAGAGGGUUUGAACUUGAAGGAGAUGCUACAGGGAUUUUGACUGCAACUUUACAUAAUGCAAAGAAUCUUUCCAACUAUUAUGCACUACCAAAGAGAAAGCCAGACACUCUCAUUGUGUCUACGACAUAAGAGCUGUCGUUGCACCCAGUCACCUUUAAUAAUACAGGUUUUGAGAAAGCCAGUUUUUAUGCUACAGAGUAUUAUAACCUUUUGAGAUAUUCAAAACAAUCCUAUGCUUAAUGUCAACAUUCCCUAUCUUUAGAUUUGUUAUGAUUAGUUUUUUGAGAUGCUUCCAAUGUUUCUGGCUCUGGGAUAAUAGAGUUCAGGAUCCCUCAGCAACAACUCUGCUGAGGACCUCAAGAGCAAGGCAGAUAAUACUCAGAAGCCAUUAUUAGAAUAUUUGUAUUUGUAUUAAAUUGUGUUAUGAGCUAAAACAGGAUGAUAGCGGAAUGCACUUAAUAUAAACCAGCUAAGAAACUUAUUUGCCACUUGUAAAUAUGCAUAGUAUUUAAAUAUAUUUAUAGUCACGGGGAGCAAAGGCUGAAAAAUCUAAAAUAUAUAUAUAUCUAAUCAGGGCAUAUAGCAUACAUCACAUUACUUUUAUUCGCAUCAUUACAACAGAUCAAGCAAUGUAUAUGCAAUAGGGCAGUUUAAAUAGCUAAUUAAUAUUUAUAACAACAAAUAAUGAAUUUGCUUUGACAGCUGAAACAUUGGACAAUUACAUCUGAUCAACAUUAUCAAUACCAUUUGCAGUAAUACUUUUCUCAACAGUUUGUGCAGUAUCAGUUUCAGUAUCAUGUGUAAAAUGUAAUUCUCAUGUGCAAUAUUUUACUUUUAUGUGCAGCUUAGUCAGUGUAAUGUUAUUACUGACACUGGAAAAUGGAAAAAAGAGCAAAUUUUCAAACAAGGGUGUGAAGUCAUGCUUUAGGACCUCUAUAGAAACUAUAAAUACUGUCUAUAUGUUGUCACCACUGUUCCCUCUAAGCUGCGCGCGUGCGCAAUUGCGCAAUUGCGCACUGCUGACACGGUCUCCGCGCACAGAAAAUCUGCACUGCGCACAAAAAAAAAAAAUCCAACCUAAAUUGUAAAUAAAAUAAACACGUAACAAUUCAUUCUGUGCUAUUUUUCAAUGUGAGUCAGUGAGUGACCGGUGACUGGCUGCUGCAGCCAAUGAUGCGAUUCACAUACGUAUUUACCAUAGACUGUAUACAAUGGUAUUUACGCAGCUAAUCAACGUCAGGCGUCCUUAUGUACAGCUACCUUUGUUCUCAUAGAUAUGAAUGAGUAGAUAGGACACGCCCCUUUGAGCUGCGGCUACAGCGAGGCUAAGCUAGUGGGGGCAAAGUUUCAGUGCAUUCUGUUGAUGUAGACGGCGUGAAAACGGAAACAACAAGUAUGCCGUCUCACUGUGCUGCAUACAGUUACACACUGCGUCGUAGGAUUGAGACAAGGAAACUUGGAAUGACUUUUCAUAGGUUUCCCAGAGACUAUGGGUUGAGGAGGAAGUGGAAGUUUGUCGGCUUAGACCUGGUGUCAUUCCAUCAGUGUUAAACUUCCCGGCUCAUCUUUGAAGAGUACGUGCCAGAAAGACCACGACCAAGCAGCCUUGAGAUCUUAGGCAGCGUCUCCCUGAGGUCCCUCUCUAUCUCCCCACACAUCCACCAACCACUGGAACACAUCUCCAAAGUUCUGCUGGGCAGCUCAGCUUCCCCUCAGAAGAAGUGCUGCCACCUGCCAGAUGAAGGAGCCUUUUGAGAGGCAGCUGGCAUCGUGAUUGGACUGUACUUUGGUCUGUUCCAAUCCAGCUUCAGCUCCAGAGACGGCAGGCGGGACGAGUCAACGGAGGCCGGGUGGACGAAGACAUGCAGCUGAGUACAAUCCAGAAAACAACAGAGGAGGAGUGCAGGGGUCCAGAGCCAGAACAACCAGAGUAGCAUCGUAUGUCUCUUAGAAAACAUCAUAGUAUAGCCUUUGGGAUGAAAAAAUGCCAUCAUAUACAUCGUAUAUUGUACAAAUAACAAGUCAAAGGAAAGAGACAUACAUUGUAGAAUUGUAGUAAUUGUGGGCUGACUGACUGAUUAUCAGUGUUUUAUUUUUUACUGAUUUACGGUAAUAAAUACAUUUAAAAAUGGCACUACUUUGGCUCUGAACCUUUAUCUACCUGUGGUCGCUCUGUCUUCUGGAGUGAUUUGAUUGGUUAUACGUCACGAAUAAAACUCCUUUAACUUAACAUCUGUAAACAAAACAAAAACGUAUCAACAAAGUUUUCUGUUAGUUUGUGUUCUUCUAAGUUUAACUCCAAGGUUUUAAAUACUUUGAUUUACUGCAAAUGAAUAUCUACUCCAAAUGUCUCACUAAUAAUCAUUAUCAGCCUUAAAAACCCACAAAACACCCCUCUAUACUCAACCACACUUAGUACAGUCCGGUUCCCCCUUCUAUAAAUCUGCUUGGAAUCAUCCACUUCCUGUUUGUCAAAGUUGCCUUCUACCUGGACAGGUUUUGUUGGAGCUCAUGCAACAAACAUUUUGGGUAACUGCACUUUAAUAUGGAUGGAUGAUACUGAAUUAGAGUCUGUUUUAAUGAGACUGAGUUCAGAUGUGUAGCUCUGUCAUUAAAUAGGAAAUUGUUUCUCAGAAUUCACAGAGAAAAGUCUGAAAUGUUUGCUAGGUUAGCGUCCCACAUGUUCUUUGGCUCAGCUAAAGCUAACUCUCUGCAACUUCUGGAUCUCUUGAGUUGCUUGUUGUUAAAAUAUCUUGCUAGAGGUGCUGAAGCUCAGAAAGUCUGAGAUGUUUGUUCAGAAUAAGCUCAUUCUCAAGUCUUCUCAAGGCUUUUGUUUUAACUUUCCCCAAACUUAAGAGUUAAUGACAGAGCAGCACAUCCAGACUCAGUCUCAUUUAUGUAGAGAUUAAACUUCAGUGUCAUUCAUUGAUGUUAAAGUGCAGUUUUUCAAAUGUUUGUUGCACAUGCUCCCGACCAAACCAGUCCAGGUGGAAGACGAUGCGAAGAGAAAGCUCCAGAGGAUGAAUAUCACACAUUUACAUUGGAAAUAAAUGUCCUUUAAUUAGACAUUGUCAUGCAAAAGUUGGAUUUCCCUUUAAUGAUGUUCAAAUCUUUGUUGAUGUUGGUUUCUAAAUGUUUUUUGACACUCGGCCCCAAAGAUUAAAACCUUCUACAGCUCACAAGCUGCAACAAUUCACACAUUAUCAACUAUCUUUCUGACUAAACUAAGAUAAAAAGUGAAAAACUGCCUGAUUCCUGCAUCAUGAAUGUAAAUCUUUUUGGUUUUUAUGACGGUAAACUCAAUAUAUUUGGGUUUGAUAUUUUAUAAAACAAAACAAGAAAUGAAUUACUGGAGAAAAGGACAGAUUAAUGGACAAAGAAAAUGUGUUUUCCAACAGAUAUGGCUGAAUUACUCCAACAUUACAAGAUACAUACAAUUUAAAUUCUAUUUUAUUUAUAUAACGCCAGUUACAGGUCAAAUUGUCUCAAAACACUUUAUUUUUAUAUUUUUUUGUCAUACUUAAAAUGUGACAAAGUAAGAAAUUUAAAGCUCCUGACUAACCCAAUUUAUUAUUUGUUUUUAAGAGACUAAUGGACAAUUAAAAUAACUUUCUCCACUAAAACUAAUAAACAUGAGGUCAAAUAGAAGGAACAGUUUUAAAUACUGCAGUCCCACGACGACAAGAAUAAAGUUUGUCAGAAAAAUGUAAAUCUGCUGGUGCAUUCCAUGAAAGUCCUAAUAAAUGAUAAUAAAGUGUGAUACUAAAGGUUUGUGGUGCUAAAAAUGUCCAAGUAAAGAUAUGAAGUUGAACAUCUGGAUGGAUGAUGGAUGAUAAAAUUUGACCUCCCUUCAUUUCUCUGGAGCCGACUCCAUGGAUUUUAUGGAUGGUGGUUAAAGACCUGCUCUUCUAGUUGUCUUCCUUCUAGUCGCUGUAAAAAGUCCUCUACCUGGCCGACUUCAGCACCUCUUCAUGACAACUUGUUCUGCCUCCAACCUGGUGGAAACUGAAGAAACUCCAGAAAACCUGUCGAGACUUGAGGAACUCGAGACUCGAAGAACUCGU